This 253-nucleotide ribosomal RNA is filed under the name uncultured bacterium. Its description in RNAcentral is "partial 16S ribosomal RNA". It matches the Rfam family "Bacterial small subunit ribosomal RNA", at positions 524 to 776 of the family's 1533-position model. The record is from RNAcentral.
GACGUAGGGUGCAAGCGUUGUCCGGAUUUAUUGGGCGUAAAGAGCUCGUAGGCGGUGUGUCGCGUCGGCCGUGAAAACCUGCAGCUUAACUGUGGGCUUGCGGUCGAUACGGGCAUCACUGGAGUUCGGCAGGGGAGACUGGAAUCCUGGUGUAGCGGUGAAAUGCGUAGAUAUCAGGAGGAACACCGAUGGCGAAGGCAGGUCUCUGGGCAUUAACUGACGCUGAGGAGCGAAAGCAUGGGGAGCGAACAGG